Molecule: ribosomal RNA, 450 nt
Filed under: uncultured Glomus
Lineage: Eukaryota; Fungi; Glomeromycota; Glomeromycetes; Glomerales; Glomeraceae
Description: SSU rRNA
Rfam family: Eukaryotic small subunit ribosomal RNA
Source: RNAcentral
AGCAGCCGCGGUAAUUCCAGCUCCAAUAGCGUAUAUUAAAGUUGUUGCAGUUAAAAAGCUCGUAGUUGAAUUUCGGGGUCAGUAGGUUGGUCAUGCCUUCGGUAUGUACUGGUCUCACUGAUUCCUCCCUCUUGAAGAACUGUAAUGUCAUUAAUUUGGUGUUGCGGGGAAACAGGACUGUUACUUUGAAAAAUUAGAGUGUUUAAAGCAGGCUCACGCUUGAAUACAUUAGCAUGGAAUAAUGAAAUAGGACGUUCGAUCCUAUUUUGUUGGUUUCUAGGAUUGACGUAAUGAUUAAUAGGGAUAGUUGGGGGCAUUAGUAUUCAAUUGUCAGAGGUGAAAUUCUUGGAUUUAUUGAAGACUAACUACUGCGAAAGCAUUUGCCAAGGAUGUUUUCAUUAAUCAAGAACGAAAGUUAGGGGAUCGAAGACGAUCAGAUACCGUCGUAGU